GGGGAAGCACUUGAUGUGCUUGAACCAGUCAGAUUGGUCAUGCUGAGGGUUCUUUUGCUCAGGCUGAUGUUGUUCAGGUCCACCGUGAUCUCAGAUAGAGCCGACACAUCUCCUAAGCUGUUCUUCAUCUCCUCAUAGGAUUUGCCAUCACUCCAUUUGUAGGGGUCCCAAGCGUUGAACCACCCUGUGAAGUUGAGGGGCUCACAGCCCUGCUUCACCAGUAUGAUCGGAGUUGCCAAGUCUCUCCCUGCUGGAUGGGUCUUGAGAUACUCCUUAGCCGAGGCAACCGCCUCAUUCCUCUCAUAUGUGUUGGAGGCUUUGCCAACCCAGAGGAAAAUCUCUUCCCAAGUGUCUAGUAACAUGACAUCAUCUUCAUCCAAGUCUUCCUGGCAGAAAUCCACCACCUCUGUCAUGAUGAACCGACCCGUCUGGUUGGAGCACUCGAAGAGGCGAGGUUGGUAGUGUGUGAUCUGCUCUUGAAACCUCUUUUCACUGGCAUAAGGGGCUUUGCCUCCCAGGGCUUCCCAGAACUCUGCUGGCUCCUG
Molecule: long non-coding RNA, 545 nt
Filed under: Gallus gallus (chicken)
Lineage: Eukaryota; Metazoa; Chordata; Aves; Galliformes; Phasianidae
Source: RNAcentral